UCACUUGGAUGUUGUAAAAAUGCUGUUCAUGCAUCAGCUAAAAGCUCCUGGCUGUGGCCUUACUAGAAAGACAAAUUGCAUGGGAAAAAUUUGCUUUCACAUUCCCCUACAAGCCUCCUCUGUGAUUAUCACCUCAGCUGGAACACUUGAACUAGUUAUUGAUCUUUUUCUCAGAUGCCUGCCUGCCUGACAGAAACAGUGAAUUUCCAGUUAUGAGAGAAGUUGUCUCUCAUUCUGUUAUGUAAGCAGUUUGGUUUUGAACUUUGCACUGAUCUUUUUGAUAUAUCCUUUCCCAAACUUUUGCUGGUUUGAAUAGGAGCAAAAGAUACUGUCAUUCCAGAAGAAUAAUCACAGGAAAUGUGCUAAAAGUCUUCACACACACUUUCAGCAACUGGCUACCAGCACAUUACUACAACACAUAGGAUACUAGCAGGCAAAUCAACAUUGCAGGAUGACAUCCCUUUAGAACAUGUUAUUUCUGGUACCAGUGGAUUUUGCAGUGGAAUGAGCCAGCAUCCACAAUUUAGACACCCACGAAUCUUACAACUUCCUUCAGAGUCCACAAAGUGCUUCAUAAGGAGUAGACAUCUGAGUUUUAUAAGUGUUUCACAAGGAGCAGAUGCACAACCGCCCACCUUCUUUCACAAGAAGGCAUUAUUCACCUCUUGGAUCUUUCCAAAGAAGGUCUCCAGCUCAGUGUUCAUAACCAUGAUAGGCAAGAGUCAGGUAUGAAGAUGGGUCAGUUGAACACUUCCAAAUACUUGGACCACAUCCUCAGGUUGCACCAAAUGAAACUGAUCUCACCAGGUGCAGGAAGUGUAGGAAGCCUUCCAUUGCCUCAUAGUUAAUCCUUUUGCCCAGUUCUCAGUGUCCUGGUGCAUAUUCCUCCCCACCCCAAUCUCUUUUGAGAAGCCAGUCAAAUGUACUUCAAAUGUAUUUCAAAUGUAUGCAGAUUGUAAGGUUGACUGUUGUUUUAUAUUGAAACUGGAGGAAAAGCUUUAUCAACACAAAAGCUGUACAGAUGCUGUCAUUGUGGCUGUAAAUAUUAAAUUAAUGAUCUAUGCCUUUGGGAGUCUUUGUUGCACAAAUCUGAGGUUCCACAUUUUACUUUUAUUGCUCACAGUUUCAUGUUUUGUUCAGAUUAACAUCUCCAGUGUUGUGAUUUGAUUUAUGGGGCAUAUUUAAUGAUUCAGACAUAAAAAUAAGUGAUAGCAUGUGUCUUCAACCAGUUUGAAUUCAGAGAUUAUGCUAUGUCAGUCUAGCAUAUGUAAUUUUAUCUGUAAUCUAUCUGAGUAAGGUCAGAUCAUUUUGGUGAUAGUCUUCCUAUCAAAGUCCUUGGAAUAUGACA
Long non-coding RNA from Sceloporus undulatus (fence lizard), 1348 nucleotides. RefSeq lists it as uncharacterized. Lineage: Eukaryota; Metazoa; Chordata; Lepidosauria; Squamata; Phrynosomatidae. The transcript is spliced from 2 exons. The record is from RefSeq and is a predicted model, not a curated record.